RNAcentral lists this ribosomal RNA (301 nucleotides) under uncultured bacterium. RNAcentral describes it as "partial 16S ribosomal RNA". It matches the Rfam family "Bacterial small subunit ribosomal RNA", at positions 509 to 807 of the family's 1533-position model. The record is from RNAcentral.
CAGUCGCCGCGGUAAUACGGAGGGUGCAAGCGUUAAUCGGAAUUACUGGGCGUAAAGCGCACGCAGGCGGUCUGUCAAGUCAGAUGUGAAAUCCCCGGGCUUAACCUGGGAACUGCAUUUGAAACUGGCAGGCUAGAGUCUUGUAGAGGGGGGUAGAAUUCCAGGUGUAGCGGUGAAAUGCGUAGAGAUCUGGAGGAAGACCGGUGGCGAAGGCGGCCCCCUGGACAAAGACUGACGCUCAGGUGCGAAAGCGUGGGGAGCAAACAGGAUUAGAUACCCCGGUAGUCCCUGUCUCUUAUAC